CAGCAGCCGCGGGAAUACGGAGGAUCCGAGCGUUAUCCGGAAUUAUUGGGUUUAAAGGGUGCGUAGGCGGAUAGAUAAGUCAGUGGUGAAAGACGGUGGCUCAACCAUCGCAGUGCCGUUGAUACUGUUUAUCUUGAAUAUGGAUGAGGUAGGCGGAAUGUGGCAAGUAGCGGUGAAAUGCAUAGAUAUGCCACAGAACACCGAUUGCGAAGGCAGCUUACCAAGGCAAAAUUGACGCUGAGGCACGAAAGCGUGGGGAUCGAACAGGAUUAGAUACCCCCGUAGUCCCUGUCUCUUAUAC
Molecule: ribosomal RNA, 301 nt
Filed under: uncultured bacterium
Lineage: Bacteria
Description: partial 16S ribosomal RNA
Rfam family: Bacterial small subunit ribosomal RNA
Source: RNAcentral